AAGUCAUGCAAAGGACCCUUUUCUGACUGAACCCAGAGGCUAAGGGCUAGUGUAGUCUCGUGCAAAUGAAGUUGUCUUCUAUAAACCAGCACACCGUGGAUGAGGCCCGGCGCCCACAAAACUGAAAAGGGAUGGAAAGAUGAAUAGAUGGAGGCCUUCAGGAGUUUGAGGUUUUCUGAAGGAGGACAAAUCAUUCCUGGAGCCUUGGAGAGCAGCACCCACUUGGGAGUUCUUCUCUGUCAAGGGGUUUGAGGAGUGCUUCAGGGCAGGGUAGAUCAAAUCCGCUGAUAAUUCUUAGGUCACCGUGACUCAGAGCCUCUGAUGAUGGCAUGGCUCCCGUGGGGACAGGUAUGCCUGCAUGGAAGACACCAGCUGGUCAUCCUCCAGGGCCUGGGUGUACUGUUGAGGCUGGGAACCCUGAGAGCAGUCAGUGUUCAGGACCCUCCGGCUAUAAUGAAGCCAGCCAUUCAAACCGACAGCUGGGUUUGGCCAACGGCAGAUCUCAGUAACUUCACAAGACAGGCCUUGAAUCCAGGCUGCGGCAGGACCACAGCAACCUGCCCACCCACCCAGACAUCUGUCCACUCAUUCACUCUUGGAGAGCAUUUAAAUCCUGACUCUUGGGCUGGCGAAAUGGAUCCGUGGAUGAAGAUGCUUGCUUUCAAGACUGAUAACCUGGGUUUCCUUUCUGGGACCCACAAGGUGGAAGGAGAGAACGAUUUCCUGCAAGCUGCCCUCUGACCUCUGAAUGUCCAGUAUGGGGCACACAUAUAUACACACAGAUAAAAUGAAUGCAGUAAAUUCCUACUUUCCUCAA
Long non-coding RNA from Mesocricetus auratus (golden hamster), 817 nucleotides. RefSeq lists it as uncharacterized. NCBI's taxonomy places the organism in Eukaryota, Metazoa, Chordata, Mammalia, Rodentia, Cricetidae. The record is from RefSeq and is a predicted model, not a curated record. The transcript is spliced from 2 exons.